GUCUCUGGUUUUAGUCAUGAUGGCGGGGAAAGUUUUCAGCAAUCUGUUUCGCUUUUUCUUCAUGUAUGUGGUUGUGGCUUCUAGUGGAUUAUCAAUAAUCGUGCAGGGUGUUAUUUCAGUUCUAUUUCAUGUAAUCUCCUUUAAAAACGUUUUUUCCCACUUUCUCAUUUUUGCUCGAGUUCAUCGUCUGACCAGGUCUGACCAGGGCUGACUGCCACACAAGGCUGGAAACUAAACCACUCAGUGUGGAUGAGCUAGUUGAAUUCACAUGUCCAAAAUUGAAUUGCAGAUUCUCUGUACCACAGACUACAUCUGUACAAAUACUGCACUGUAAGUAAAUUUGAAUUUCCAUCAUGUUGGUUAGCACUAGCAUAGACAACGAAGUGGUCUAUGGUCGUUUUUUCCCAAGUCCACUUCGUUGUCUAUGGCACUAGUACUAGCUGAUAAGUCAACGACAGAAGAGUUGCUUAAAAGUAAUUUUUAAUUUCUUUUUCCAAGAAUGGUUAAUGGUGUAAAGUUUUAAUUAAAACAUUUUAGCUUCUACAGAAAAACCAAUUCCGACAAUCAUGUUUUUAAAAUGAAGUGUAGCAGAUAUGACUUGGUUAACAUAGUUAUGGCUACGUCUACCCAUGGCGGGAAAAGGUGAACAGCUGACUGUUGUAUGUGUGACAGUGUGAGAUUGAAGAUUUCCUAGACAGAAUUCUGGCUACUUGUUAUUCGGUACCACCUUUUAUGUAAUUUUAGACAACAUCCAGUAAGUCAUAUCAAUUAAAAUUGUAAUCCUUAUUAUAAACACAUCUGUGAACAAAGAGUUAGCUUCAGGAUUGAGAUUCCUCAACACAUACAACAAGGACCCCAUUUCAAGUUGUAGCAUCCAGCCUUUUCUCAACUGCCAUGUAGCUUCUUUUUACAGGAUAGAACAAGGAUUCUCCAUUGCAGUUGGAGAUGUUACAUAUGGGCUGUUAGGCAGAGCACUGCUUAAGAAAGCAGUACAGUGGCAAUUUGGUAAGUAUGACUUCGGACGUUUCUGCUAGGAGUUCAAGAAUCGCGAAGCAAUUGAACAACCACAUCUGUACUGGAAUUAGUAUGAUGGGAUAUUGGUAUGUAAAUGAUAUUGCAAGUUUAUUUCUUACAGGGUGAUCAGAAUAACCAAAAAAUUGGGAACAGUGACCAAAACACGGAAAUGUGAAGUUUAUUUUCAUGGAUUCAAAGAAAGGCUAAAAAAACAAAUAACCUAUAUAUUGUUGAAAGCUUCCUUUGUGUAGUUUCAAAUGCCAACAACCUUAUUUUUGAAAAAGAAAAAAAUAAGGCAUUAAUAAGGAAUAGUAUGUUGGAAGGAAUGACUUUGGUCUUUACUCCUCUGUUGGAAUUUGCAUGCUACCAUUGUCUUCGUCCGUCACAGGACAAAAUCACUUCACAAGUAAAAUCGGAUUGUGAUGUGAUGAAAUUAGUUCUCAAUGUAGAUGAGGAUCUUGAAAAAUCUCCAUACCUUAUGUCAGCUGUAAAAGUGUUGAAGGUGUUGGUGAAUGGACAUAUUGAGUCCUAGAAUAAUGUCAAUGACAGUGUAAACUAUGAGUCAGCAAGUGUUCUUCAUAGGAGCGGACCGACUCCUACAUUAGAGGAAAUUGACACGCGUGAUUCCAAUAAUGUUUGGGAACUUCUGGCUUCAGCCACCAGGGGGAUGUCGAAUGUUUCUAGUCUCUUGGAUCACUUACAUUAGAUAUCAGAUUAAAUCGGCCCUGUUCUUCUAUUCCCAUUGUUUUGUUCAUCUGUUAAUAUUAGUUUAAAAAAACGAGAAAUAGAUUUUACUAUAAAGAUAGCCGUUUAUCGCCACACAGGCACAAAAAUUCAAACAAAAGGAUAAUAGGGAACUCUGAGAACUCAAUAUAUUCGACGUCCCCCUGGUGGUGGACGCCAGAAGUUUUCAAACGUCAUUGGAAUCACACAAGACACAACUCGAUUUCCUUGUUUUCACUCAGGUUUCAGGGUUUCCUUAUUUUUAGAUGAUUCGUUGUUCGUUUCUCUCAAUAUGGCGCCAAAAGGUUUUCAACAAUCUGUUUCGCUUUUUCUUUCGUUAAUAUGGUUUUGGAUUUUGGUGGAUCAUCAAUAAUCGUGCAGGCUGAAAACGACGUAAGGAAAUUCUACUGUAGUGCCAGGCUGCAUAUUUUGUAGACAGAGAAGCUGGCAUGCAAAGAAAACCUGAAUGCUGAUGUAAAAGACCUUAAAUGGAUCUGAUUAACACCAAAGAAUUCCAGAGGAAGAAUAUUGAACUUGAGUACCAUUAUUGAAAUUGUCAAUGGUUCAUCAUCUCCGAUUUUUAGCAUAAAUGAUGUGGCAGUCGUUGUUAGUUAUGGAGUAACUAUAUUUGGACGUCAAAGCGGCUGAUGUUAGCGCCCAUUUUUGGGCAAUUUUGGAAGAAAAGCAGUUCCAACUAAGCCAUUAGAUGGUAUCAUCACUAUCAUGAAUAGACAAACACAGAAUAAGUGUUAGCAAUACAAUUGCUGUUGGCGAAAACGGAUCUGGUUUGAUGAGAUGUCAUUCUCGAGGAUCACCUACAUGGCUUCUCGUCAAAAUUUUCUACUGGAACCAUUUGCCAAAGCGUGGAUUAGCUUGACAAUUGACUUCACAAAUCACAACGACCAAGAUUCUGGAAUCAAGAAUUAAAAGAGAACCGUCUGCGUACGUGCGUAGAGGACAUUAGAUGUGGAUUCAACCGUUGGCCAAUCGACUUUUGAUUGAUCGGGUUACUGGCCUUGGCUACGUGGAUCUUGGGUCACAUACCUGGAAUUCAGAGAGAAACAGCUGUGAUCUUUGGGAUAUGAAUAUCAGAGCACAACAAAACUCGCGGUAAUGAAGCCUGAUUAACGUAAGCUGCCAAAAUUCAGCAAAAAUGCAACAGGGUAAGACCAGACUUUGGAUGGAACAAAGAGCCGUUCGUCAGUGAUGUUGAUGGAAUAACCGGCAUCCUGAUGUCUUCGCUGCUGCUAUUUCUGCUAUUAUUGUUGCUAUCCUGUGUUUAAUGAGGUUUUUCCAGCACAUUGGUGCGGUGACAAAAUGUGUUUGAUCAUGUUGCAUUCGUUACGUAACUUCUGAACAAACAGCAGCAGCUUCCGUUACGCCUCCGGUAACCAAAUGGGUUAUUACACCACAUAAAUUCCAACGGCUGCGAGAUUUGCAUGUACUAUAGAACCGCAACAGGUAAUUUUCGAAAGCGAGUUGAACUCUUUUAUCCAAACACCCUAGCUAUCAGCGGAGACAUUCCCGAAAUGGUGCAAGCUCGUGGGAAAUUUUUAAACUCUUAUUGAGUAGGCCCGCAAUCGCACUAGAUUGUAAUUAAGUUGCGUUUGCUUGACUGACAGGUUCGCGAUCUGCAUCCAAAAGAGUUGCAGUGUGUGCAUGAUAACCGCUUUCUUAUUUUUUCCUAGCGUCUAAAUUAUUUCAAAAUGACGUUGCCAUAAAUCCCGAGAGCAGGUGAUUUACCAAAUGUGCUGCAAGCCCAAGAGAACGUUACUGGCCAAAUGUGCUUGCAAUCCUAAGAGAUGGCGUUAUCGGCCAAAUAUGCUAGAACUCCAAGAGAUGGCGGUGGUAAAAUAUGCAAGAAAGGCUAUAAAUGGCGCUAAGUACGGAACGGAAUGAAAGCAGCAAAGAUGGCGUUAACUACAAAUGUGCAAGAAAGCCCAGAGAUGGCACUAACUACCAUACGUGCAAGAAAGCAGAGAUGCACUGACGGCAAAUGCAUGGUGUCGACAAUCCCUGAAGUUUAACAGUCACUUAUUAAAUAUUUCUUGGAAUCGAAGUGUAAGUGACGUUUCCUCCAGCGCUCUUGAAUCAAAUCAUUAAGAAAAAUUUGUAGUAAAGGGCAAUAAUGUGCAGCAGUGAAGGAAGUAUGCACGUACGUUCUGCACUUCAAUUUGUUUGUUUGAAAUACUUGUACAUGGAAGGUGAUGCAAGGAAAAAGGCAAUAUCCAGUGUAUGAUCAAGCAAAUUGUUUUCUGUGUAACGAAAGUAUGCACAGAAAUGAGAAAGCCUAUACAUUGCUGCAACUGUUGUGAUAUUAAAUAAUGCAGACUAUCUCAGGUCGAUCAGGUAUAUGUGGAAUAAGAAUAAUAUCUCAAGUCAAGAUUGAAACCUGCAACUUUAGGAAAGAGGCUCUCAAUGUUCUUUAUGGCAGAUGCCCUAAAUUUAGAAACAAUGUUCAGCAAAAAAUAGCAGUAAUUUGUUUUGCGAAAAAGUUACAAGUAUGACACCAGAUUUGAGAUAACAACCAGCUAUAAGUUUUAGGCCAACAAAGAAGAAAGAUCGUUUUGUUUGUUCGUAGUCUUGUUUGUGCAGUAACCUUAUCCCUGAAGUCAAUAUAUGUGAUACGAAAACUAGAUUUUUUUUUGCUUUUAAUUAAUGGGUUCACUCGAUUCUACGCUUCUAUUUCAAUUCCUUUGUUUAUCUGUUUUUAUAAGAUAAAAAAUAGAUGUGAAAUAGUUUUAAUAUAAAGAUACUUAAGAUAGCCAUUUAUCGCCACACAGACACAAAAUUCAAACAACAGGAUAAUGGGGCAUUCCAGACUUUCCAGAAUCCAGAGCACUUAAUACAUUCGACUACUCUCCUGGUGGCGGACAUAAGAAGUUCAACAUGAAUCUUGAUUUUGUUUUAAAUUUUUACGUGGAACCUGUUAUCCACGUAAAUAUGAUGUCGAUUUUAAUGAUAGCUGUUAAAUUUUGAAUGAAAAUCUGGUGUUUUUAACCAGGUCUAGAAUUUAGUCAAAAAUGAAAAAGUGAGAAGGCUAUACCCUUCUCAUUUUUGCCAAAAUCGGCAAAAAACUAAAUCUCUUGGAAUCCGUUUAAAAUCACACGUAAUACUAAACAUAAAUUGCUUAUUUAGGAAAAUUGAUUUGUUUUCUCGUCAAUUUAUCUGCUUUAGAAAUAUUUUAAAUAAUUGUACUGUGUGACGCUAGCGCUACAUUGUGCUAGCGCGCCAGCUUUUUUACCCAUUUUUAACGUUUAUUUCAGGAGUUUCAAGUCCCACGAGACAACGAACUCAAUUUUUGAAUCUGUUAGUUAAAUUUUAAAUGCAAAUCCCGUAUUUUCAUAUUAAACUGAGGUUUAAAAAAGUACAAAAUUGGCAAAAAAGUGGGGCUUAUGUUGUCGGGCUUAUUUCGAAGCUUGAUAGGUGAUUGGGUUACAGAUAGAAAAACAAGAUGGCGUUAUUGUUCUUCCAUGAUGACUGACAAGGUGUAACGAGUAAAUUAGCUGUUAGCGAUGUUUCUUAACUUUCUUGUGCUUGAAAGGAUUUCUCACGUGAAAAUUAACAGGUUUCCCUCAUUAUCAGCUAUUCAGGCUGCUGAUCCAGAAAAUACUAAACUACCGAUGUCUUUUUUCUGUUAUGUCAUCUCUCAUUGAAGAUGAGCUCAGCCCUUUUCAGUCUCCCAUUUAACCAAAUGGCAUAUCUCAUUUCAUUGAAAUCAUGAUCUUUAAACUAAAUGCACAAGUCUUCACUUACUUUGCAUUGACAUCUGAUCAACCAUUAUCUAAAUUAUCCAGUCUACAGCAGUUUUCCAUCCUAGCCAAAAAUCAAACAGUAGUAUCUCAAUCAUCCAGCCAUCACUACUUCCGAACUUAAGUCAGCUAUCGUUUAUAGACUUCAACUUCUUUUCACGAACUUCGAAAUUUUGGUCGUUGGAUCCCGUCUUGACCAUAUCUUCACCUUUUUCCGUAGCUGACCAACACGCAUAGACUUUAAAUGCUGUCGCCUUCAUUGAGAUUGUCAAUUGUUCAUCAUCAUCAUCUCUGCCGAAAAAUCGCUGUUCAAUUCAAGUCAUCAAGUCAUGCCUCCUUACGGAUCUUCCACGUGACGCCCACUUCUACUGGUAGAUAACAUUAUGGAAGGUUUGUGAUCCCCGAAAAACUCAUGGUGGUGGCGUACGGAGCAACGUGGAACGUCCCUUUCUUCUGUGGUAUUGUUUGUUUUGUUUUGUGGUUGUGAGUUAACCCAUUGGCUGCCACCCAUUUUGCUCCCCUUUUUUUUGUAGCUUUAGGGACCGGCCGCGCUGUCCUACCCCAUGGGGUGGGGCAGUUGCAAUGGCCUUCGCCGAAAGGCGUGUAGGCAAUGCACCAGUAGGGACUUCUCUUUGUUCGAUGCAGUGGCGGAUUCCCGAGGGUGUGCAUUCCCUGUAAAGGUUUCCGUCACUGUGUCAGCCCGGACUCGUCUUCGGACAAGUCCCUUUUGUUCGUGGAUCCUUCAGACGCGAUGCGUAAUAAGUAGAAAAACAACCUAUGGGUUGUAUGGCGUGGCAGCCAACGGGUUAACUAAUUGUAUGCAUGUAUGUAUGUAUGUAUGUGUAUUUGUAUGUAUGUGUAUGUAAAUGUAAUUUGAAAUAGUGGUGGAAUUGUGGGUGGAGGUGGGUAAAUACAAAAUUAAUUCCAUUUA
Daphnia magna is the source of this 6420-nucleotide long non-coding RNA. RefSeq lists it as uncharacterized. Lineage: Eukaryota; Metazoa; Arthropoda; Branchiopoda; Diplostraca; Daphniidae. The transcript has 16 exons. The record is from RefSeq and is a predicted model, not a curated record.